CGGUAAUUCCAGCUCCAAUAGCGUAUACUAAAGUUGUUGCAGUUAAAAAGCUCGUAGUUGGAUUUCUGCGGGGACGGAGCGGCCGGACGCAACUUGCGUCUCGAGCUAGCGCUUUCCCCGCAUCCUGCCGCGAACCGUGCUACCAUUAGCUUGGUGGCGCUGGGGAUCGGCUCGAUUACUUUGAGAAAAAUAGAGUGUUCAAAGCAGGCCACACGCCUUGAAUAAGUUAGCAUGGAAUAAUGACUAAGGACUUCGGUUCUAUUUUGUUGGUGUUCGGGACUGAAGUAAUGAUUGAUAGGGACAGUUGGGGCGGUCUGUAUUCCAAAGCGAGAGGUGAAAUUCUUAGACCUUCGGAAGACAAACAGCUGCGAAAGCGUUCCGCAAGGAUGUUCCCUUUGAUCAAGAACGAAAGUUGGGGGAUCGAAGACGAUCAGAUACCGUCGUAGUCUCAACUAUAAACUAUACCAGCUAGGGAUCGGUCAACGUUUAAUCAUUCGACUUGAUCGGCACCUUAUGAGAAAUCAAAGCAUCUGGGUUCCGGGGGGAGUAUGGUCGCAAGGCUGAAACUUAAAGGAAUUGACGGAAGGGCACCACCAGCCGUGGAGCCUGUGGCUUAAUUUGACUCAACACGGGAAAACUUACCAGGUCCAGACAUAGUAAGGAUUGACAGAUUGAUAGCUCUUUCUUGAUUCUGUGGGUGGUGGUGCAUGGCCGUUCUUAGUUGGUGGAGUGAUUUGUCUGGUUAAUUCCGUUAACGAACGAGACCCCAGCCUGCUAAAUAGCGCGGUUGAGCUUUGCUCGAUGCGAGCUUCUUAGAGGGACUAUGAUGCGCGAUAGCACAUGGAAGUUUGGGGCAAUAACAGGUCUGUGAUGCCCUUAGAUGUUCUGGGCCGCACACGGGCUACACUGGCGCCUGCAACGAGCAUAUCAGCUGGCCCGAGAGGGUCUUGGCUAAUCUUUUGAACCGGCGCCGUGCUUGGGAUUGACCAUUGCAAUUGUUGGUCAUGCAACGAGGAAUGCCUUGUAAACGCGAGUCAUCAGCUCGCAUUGAAUACGUCCCUGCCCUUUGUACACACCGCCCGUCGCUCCUACCGAUGAAUGUUCCGAUGAAAUUUUCGGAGAGCGCCAGAGAACGGGGCUCUGCCUUGCAGAUCUGGAGGCUCAAAGUCACUUAAAUCUGAACAUUUCGAGGAAGGAGAAGUCGUAACAAGGUAGCCG
This 1218-nucleotide ribosomal RNA is filed under the name uncultured Rhizaria. RNAcentral's name for it is "SSU rRNA". It matches the Rfam family "Eukaryotic small subunit ribosomal RNA", at positions 577 to 1805 of the family's 1831-position model. The record is from RNAcentral.